Molecule: signal recognition particle RNA, 98 nt
Filed under: Treponema sp.
Lineage: Bacteria; Pseudomonadati; Spirochaetota; Spirochaetia; Treponematales; Treponemataceae
Description: signal recognition particle sRNA small type
Rfam family: Bacterial small signal recognition particle RNA
About the family: The signal recognition particle (SRP) is a universally conserved ribonucleoprotein involved in the co-translational targeting of proteins to membranes. Archaeal SRP consists of a 7S RNA and homologues of the eukaryotic SRP19 and SRP54 proteins. In most bacteria, the SRP consists of a 4.5S RNA and the Ffh protein (a homologue of the eukaryotic SRP54 protein).
Source: RNAcentral
AACCGGGAAACAUGCGGACAAGCGCCGCCCAACUCCGCCAGGUUCGGAAGGAAGCAACGGUAAGCGGAGGCUGUCGCGCCGUGUCACUCUCGGUCGCG